UACGUAGGGUCCAAGCGUUAUCCGGAAUUACUGGGCGUAAAGAGUUGCGUAGGUGGCAUAGUAAGCAAAAAGUGAAAUGACUCGGCUCAACCGAGUAUACAUUUUUUGAACUACUAAGCUUGAGUAUGAGAGAGGUAGAUGGAAUUUCUAGUGUAGGAGUGAAAUCCGUAGAUAUUAGAAGGAACACCGAUGGCGUAAGCAGUCUACUAGCUCAUUACUGACACUAAGGCACGAAAGCGUGGGGAGCGAACGGG
RNAcentral lists this ribosomal RNA (254 nucleotides) under uncultured bacterium. RNAcentral's name for it is "partial 16S ribosomal RNA". It matches the Rfam family "Bacterial small subunit ribosomal RNA", at positions 524 to 776 of the family's 1533-position model. The record is from RNAcentral.